This 82-nucleotide transfer RNA is filed under the name Nostoc sp. B(2019). Its description in RNAcentral is "tRNA-Tyr". It matches the Rfam family "tRNA". From Rfam's summary of the family: Transfer RNA (tRNA) molecules are approximately 80 nucleotides in length. Their secondary structure includes four short double-helical elements and three loops (D, anti-codon, and T loops). Further hydrogen bonds mediate the characteristic L-shaped molecular structure. tRNAs have two regions of fundamental functional importance: the anti-codon, which is responsible for specific mRNA codon recognition, and the 3' end, to which the tRNAs corresponding amino acid is attached (by aminoacyl-tRNA synthetases). tRNAs cope with the degeneracy of the genetic code in two manners: having more than one tRNA (with a specific anti-codon) for a particular amino acid; and 'wobble' base-pairing, i.e. permitting non-standard base-pairing at the 3rd anti-codon position. The record is from RNAcentral. Lineage: Bacteria; Bacillati; Cyanobacteriota; Cyanophyceae; Nostocales; Nostocaceae.
GGGUCGGCUCGCCUAUUGGUGUGGGCAACUGUCUGUAAAACAGUCGCGUUCAGUUUUGCUGGUUCAAUUCCAGCCUGACCCA